AGUCACUGACAUUAGAUACCCGUGUAGUCCAGGGUGUAAACGCUGCAGACUUGGUGUUGGGAACCCUUCGGGGGUGCUCAGUGCCGGAGAGAAGUUGUUAAGUCUGCUACUUGGGGAGUACGUCCGCAAGGAUGAAACUUAAAGGAAUUGGCGGGGGAGCACCGCAACGGGAGGAGCGUGCGGUUUAAUUGGAUUCAACACCGUAAAACUCACCAGGGAAGACUGUUACAUGAAGGCCGAGAUGAAGACUCUGCUAGAUUUUCAG
RNAcentral lists this ribosomal RNA (265 nucleotides) under uncultured archaeon. RNAcentral describes it as "partial 16S ribosomal RNA". It matches the Rfam family "Archaeal small subunit ribosomal RNA", at positions 717 to 982 of the family's 1478-position model. The record is from RNAcentral.